RNAcentral lists this ribosomal RNA (423 nucleotides) under Verrucomicrobiota bacterium. RNAcentral describes it as "Verrucomicrobia bacterium partial 16S ribosomal RNA". It matches the Rfam family "Bacterial small subunit ribosomal RNA", at positions 355 to 776 of the family's 1533-position model. Lineage: Bacteria; Pseudomonadati; Verrucomicrobiota. The record is from RNAcentral.
UGAGGAAUAUUGGACAAUGGGCGGAAGCCUGAUCCAGCCAUGCCGCGUGAAGGACUAAGGCCCUACGGGUCGUAAACUUCUUUUGACGCAGAGCAAUAAGGUCCACGUGUGGACCGAUGAGAGUAUGCGUCGAAUAAGCAUCGGCUAACUCCGUGCCAGCAGCCGCGGUAAUACGGAGGAUGCGAGCGUUAUCCGGCUUUAUUGGGUUUAAAGGGUGCGCAGGCUGUGCAUCAAGUCAGCGGUAAAAUCUCGGGGCUCAACCCCGUUUAGCCGUUGAAACUGGUGUGCUGGAGUGUGCGCGAGGAAGGCGGAAUGCGCGGUGUAGCGGUGAAAUGCAUAGAUAUUGCGCAGAACUCCGAUUGCGAAGGCAGCCUUCCAGUGCAUGACUGACGCUGAGGCACGAAAGCGUGGGUAUCGAACAGG